UAAUACGGAGGGUGCAAGCGUUAUCCGGAUUCACUGGGUUUAAAGGGUGUGUAGGCGGGCUGUUAAGUCAGUGGUGAAAUCUCCGGGCUCAACCCGGAAACUGCCAUUGAUACUAAUGGUCUUGAAUUUUGUUGAGGUAGGCGGAAUAUGUCAUGUAGCGGUGAAAUGCUUAGAUAUGACAUAGAACACCGAUUGCGAAGGCAGCUUACUAAGCAAAUAUUGACGCUGAGGCACGAAAGCGUGGGGAUCAAACAGGAUUAGAUACCCUGGUAGUCCACGCCCUAAACGAUGAUUACUCGACAUACGCGAUACACAGUGUGUGUCUGAGCGAAAGCAUUAAGUAAUCCACCUGGGAAGUACGUCCGCAAGGAUG
This 373-nucleotide ribosomal RNA is filed under the name uncultured bacterium. Its description in RNAcentral is "bacterial SSU rRNA". It matches the Rfam family "Bacterial small subunit ribosomal RNA", at positions 521 to 896 of the family's 1533-position model. The record is from RNAcentral.